AUUGAACGCUGGCGGCAUGCUUUACACAUGCAAGUCGAACGGCAGCGCGGGCUUCGGCCUGGCGGCGAGUGGCGGACGGGUGAGUAAUACAUCUGAACGUGCCCAGUAGUGGGGGAUAGCUCGGCGAAAGCCGGCUUAAUACCGCAUACGACCUGAGGGUGAAAGCGUGGGAUCUUCGGACCUCGCGCUAUUGGAGCGGCCGAUGGCAGAUUAGCGAGUUGGUGGGCUAAAGGCCUACCAAGGCGACGAGCUGUAGCUGGUCUGAGAGGACGACCAGCCAGACGGGGAGUGAGACACGGCCCAGACACCUGCGGGAGGCAGCAGUGGGGAAUGUUGCACAAUGGGCGAGUGGCUGAUACAGCAAUGCCGCGUGAGUGAUGAUGGCGUUCGGGUUCGAGAGUACUUUAGGCGUGAGCGAAAAAGACCGUGUCAAUACCUCGGUUCAAUGACGGUAGCCGGAGAAUAAGCACCGGCUAACUUCGUG
This 484-nucleotide ribosomal RNA is filed under the name uncultured bacterium. Its description in RNAcentral is "partial 16S ribosomal RNA". It matches the Rfam family "Bacterial small subunit ribosomal RNA", at positions 28 to 507 of the family's 1533-position model. The record is from RNAcentral.